UAGUCUCGCACAGAUGCAUAUCAAUAAGCGGAGGAAAAGAAACUAACAAGGAUUCCCCUAGUAACGGCGAGUGAAGCGGGAAGAGCUCAAAUUUGAAAUCUUAAAGGGUUUCCCUUUACGAAUUGUAGUUUAAAGAAGUGUUUUCUGUUGAGGUUUUGGUAAAAGUUCUUUGGAAUAGGACAUCAUAGAGGGUGAGAAUCCCGUAUUUGACCUUUACUUUCAACUUUGUGAUACACUUUCAAAGAGUCGGAUUGUUUGGGAAUGCAGUCCAAAAUGGGUGGUAAAUUUCAUCUAAAGCUAAAUAUUGGCGAGAGACCGAUAGCGAACAAGUACCGUGAGGGAAAGAUGAAAAGAACUUUGAAAAGAGAGUUAAACAGUACGUGAAAUUGUCAAAAGGGAAGCGUUUGACACCAGUGUUGUUUUUCUGAAAAUCAAUUAGAGAACUGUUUAUGCUAAGUUGUUUAGACUUUAUCAGCUAAUCUGCUUAGUUUUGAGCUUUUCUUUAAUGCACUUUUCAGUUAACAAGUCAACAUCAAUUUCUUUUGCUGUAAAAAAGCUUGAGGAAGGUGGCUUGAGAUUCGUCUUAAGUGUUUAUAGCCUCUUGCCUAUGCAGUCGGAGAGAUUGAGGUCUGCAGCGUAGAUCCUUCGGGGCUAAAUGCAUUUGUGCUAAGUUAUAGCAUUUUAUAGACAACUUGUUGACUAUGAUUUGUCUUGUAGCUUACUCGCUUAUGUUAUUUUACCUACGCUUAGGAUGUUGACGCAUGAGAUAUACGC
Molecule: ribosomal RNA, 774 nt
Filed under: uncultured Neocallimastigales
Lineage: Eukaryota; Fungi; Neocallimastigomycota; Neocallimastigomycetes; Neocallimastigales
Description: partial large subunit ribosomal RNA
Rfam family: Eukaryotic large subunit ribosomal RNA
Source: RNAcentral